This 69-nucleotide transfer RNA is filed under the name Aesopia cornuta. RNAcentral describes it as "tRNA-Ala". It matches the Rfam family "tRNA". Rfam says of the family: Transfer RNA (tRNA) molecules are approximately 80 nucleotides in length. Their secondary structure includes four short double-helical elements and three loops (D, anti-codon, and T loops). Lineage: Eukaryota; Metazoa; Chordata; Actinopteri; Pleuronectiformes; Soleidae. The record is from RNAcentral.
AAGGCUUUAGCUUAAUUAAAGUGUCUGUUUUGCAUACAGGAGAUGCGGGGUAGUAAUCCGUAAGUCUUA